Molecule: long non-coding RNA, 754 nt
Organism: Vidua chalybeata
Lineage: Eukaryota; Metazoa; Chordata; Aves; Passeriformes; Viduidae
Exons: 4
Source: RefSeq, a predicted model, not a curated record
GUUGGAAGGGACCCACAAGGAUCAUCAAAGUCCAGCCCUUGUCACCUGCUCUCCCGCAGCACUGGGAAAGGAGCAGGGGGUGAGAUUAAGCCUGGAGAUACUUGAGAAGUUCAACCUGGCCAAACUGCUGCCCAGGAACCAGGAAUGUGAGGCUGGGUGGGAUCUCUCCACCCCACCCCAUACGCCUCCGAAGGCAAUUCCAGCCUCACCAUCCCAGCUGUGGGACAACGAGGAUGGAUGGGGAGUUGCGGAAGAAGGGCCGGAGCGCUGAGAACAGUGUGGAAAAGCCAUUAGAAACCUGAGCUGGGGACGCGGCCCCGGGAUUAGUCGCACAUGGAGUCAUCCAGAGCAGAGACAGAAUUUGGACUUGAUGAUCCCUGGGAGUCCCUUUCAACUCAGGAUAUUCUGUGAUUCCAGGAACUGGGGAUGGUCAGACCAGGACCUGGCACCAAGACCCAUCCCCACAAUCUUGUGCUCCACUGGGAUUGUCCCUUCCAGUUGUCAGGUUGAGGAAUUUGCUUUUCUGCUUGCUAAUAUUUUGGGAGAAAUUCCUGUGUUUGAAUUCCUGUCUGGUCGCUGCCUUUUCCAAGUGUUUGUCUUUGGUCCAGGAUGUAUCCUGUCUGCAGGUAAAGUGAGACAAUUAAGGAAAUAUCCCGUGGAGCCAGGCUGGGAGAGCUGGGAAUGUCCAGUCUAGAGACAAGAACGUUCCAGGGAGACCUUAGAGGCUCUCCCAGUGUCUAAAGGGGCUCCAAGA